UUAGAGUUUGAUCCUGGCUCAGGAUGAACGCUAGCGGCAGGCUUAAUGCAUGCAGGUCGAGGGGCAGCAGGGGUGUAGCAAUACACUCGCUGGCGACCGGCAAACGGGUGCGGAACACGUACGCAACCUACCCAAAACUGGGGAAUAGCCCGGGGAAACCCGGAUUAAUACCUCGUAACAUAAUAAAGUGGCAUCACUAUAUUAUUAUAGCUCCGGCGGUUUUGGAUGGGCGUGCGGCUGAUUAGGUAGUUGGCGGGGUAACGGCCCACCAAGCCUGCGAUCAGUAACUGGUGUGAGAGCACGACCAGUCACACGGGCACUGAGACACGGGCCCGACUCCUACGGGAGGCAGCAGUAAGGAAUAUUGGUCAAUGGACGCAAGUCUGAACCAGCCAUGCCGCGUGAAGGAUGAAGGUCCUCUGGAUUGUAAACUUCUUUUAUAUGGGACGAAACCCUCAGAUUUUUCUGAGAUUGACGGUACCAUAGGAAUAAGCACCGGCUAACUCCGUGCCAGCAGCCGCGGUAAUACGGAGGGUGCAAGCGUUAUCCGGAUUCACUGGGUUUAAAGGGUGCGUAGGAGGGUAGGUAAGUCAGUGGUGAAAUCUCCAAGCUUAACUUGGAAACUGCCGUUGAUACUAUCUAUCUUGAAUGUUGUGGAGGUGAGCGGAAUAUGUCAUGUAGCGGUGAAAUGCUUAGAUAUGACAUAGAACACCAAUUGCGAAGGC
This 725-nucleotide ribosomal RNA is filed under the name uncultured bacterium. RNAcentral describes it as "bacterial SSU rRNA". It matches the Rfam family "Bacterial small subunit ribosomal RNA", at positions 1 to 722 of the family's 1533-position model. The record is from RNAcentral.